RNAcentral lists this transfer RNA (85 nucleotides) under Felis catus (domestic cat). It matches the Rfam family "tRNA". Rfam says of the family: Transfer RNA (tRNA) molecules are approximately 80 nucleotides in length. Their secondary structure includes four short double-helical elements and three loops (D, anti-codon, and T loops). The record is from Rfam by way of RNAcentral. Lineage: Eukaryota; Metazoa; Chordata; Mammalia; Carnivora; Felidae.
GCCUGGGUGGCUCAGUCGGUUAAGCAGCUGACUUCAGUUCAGGUCAUGAUCUCAUGGUUUGUGGGUUCAAGCCCCACAUCGGGCU